Pelobates cultripes (western spadefoot toad) is the source of this 519-nucleotide non-coding RNA. Lineage: Eukaryota; Metazoa; Chordata; Amphibia; Anura; Pelobatidae. The record is from the annotation of a GenBank genome assembly.
UUGAGGAGGCGGUGACCAUGGCGGUGGAGGAGGAGGAUGAAGUAGCCAACACUAUUUAUAUAUAUAUAUAUGUAUAUAUAUAUAUACACAAGAUAUAUAUAUUUUAAUUGGGGUAGCCCCCAAAAUAUUGGGACAUAUAAAAAAAGACAACUCUAUUCUGAAGAGUAGCUGUUGACCUUAUAGUUGCGCAGGAACUUUGUUGACUCUAGAGAACCUCGGGCAAAUCGCACAUCCCCGUGGCGGCGACUUUGCAUGCGGAUGUCAUCCAUAUCAACUUUCGAUGCUAGUUUCUGCCCCUACCAUGGUGACCACGGGUAAUGGGGAAUCAGGGUUCCAUUCCGUACAGGGACCCUGAGAAAUGGCUACCACAUGCAAAGAAGGCAGCAGGCGCGCAAAUGGCCCACUCCCGACGCGGGAAGGUAGUGACAACAAAUAACAAUACAGGACUGUUUUGAUCAAGUCCACUUGAAAUCCUUUAACUCUGAUCAAUUAGAGGGAAGUCUGGUGCAGAGCCACUGA